Mauremys reevesii (Reeves's turtle) is the source of this 608-nucleotide long non-coding RNA. RefSeq lists it as uncharacterized. NCBI's taxonomy places the organism in Eukaryota, Metazoa, Chordata, Testudines, Geoemydidae. The transcript has 3 exons. The record is from RefSeq and is a predicted model, not a curated record.
GAGCUGGGGAGCUCCAGCCUGGAAAGCCCCAGGCUGUGGCCUAGCAUGAGGCCAAGAGAAAUACUGGUAUCGGAAGAGUGAACAAGAGAAUCAGUCCUCCCAACCGUGCAAGUUAAGGGAAUUUCAUAGCUGAAACGGAAAAUCAACUGAUUCAAAGGAGAUUCUAGGGGAGUUGAACCCAAGCUGCAACCCUAGAUCAAAACAUCCCCUGACCUUUGAGGAGUCAUGACCUGAACUUUGCACGUGAGCCCCAUCUCCAAUAUGUGAGAACAAAACCCUGGAUCUAAAUACACCUUCGCUUUGGAGGUGUUUGAAUUCUCAUCUGUGUUUUUGGGCUUGUCUCUGUGAGGCGUAUGUAGAAAGGGCAAUAUGGGCAUGAUGCGGGCUUGAUGCUGGAGGCUUGUAUGUUCUUAAAGUAUAAACAUGUUAGUCCUUCAUAGUAAUGUAUGCUGAACAUACAGGCCCACUCCUACUGUGGUAUCUGUGUGUGUUGCUCCACUGUCAAAUUCUGGGCCUAAAGCUAGUGUAACCUGCCUUUACCCCCAGGCAACCACUCCUGGGCUCUUUGGAAUGUCUAGGCUGAACUCUGUAAAUAAAGAAAAACUAAG